RNAcentral lists this non-coding RNA (56 nucleotides) under Methylibium sp. NZG. RNAcentral's name for it is "nhaA-I RNA". It matches the Rfam family "nhaA-I RNA". From Rfam's summary of the family: Acidobacteria, Alphaproteobacteria, Betaproteobacteria and Gammaproteobacteria, Verrucomicrobia, cand. division NC10. Downstream gene RNAcentral also lists the same sequence under 1 other name. The record is from Rfam by way of RNAcentral. Lineage: Bacteria; Pseudomonadati; Pseudomonadota; Betaproteobacteria; Burkholderiales; Sphaerotilaceae.
GGGUGUUGGGCCGUCGCUGCGGCGCGGCAGGUUCAUGCGAUGGUCGGGCCGCCUCG